RNAcentral lists this long non-coding RNA (480 nucleotides) under Capsicum annuum. RNAcentral describes it as "long non-coding RNA (CANN_LNC018717)". The record is from RNAcentral. Lineage: Eukaryota; Viridiplantae; Streptophyta; Magnoliopsida; Solanales; Solanaceae.
UCAGAGAAUCUUGAUUGCAACAAGUAUGCAAAUUAACUACAAGUGUUCCCUGCCCUCCUCUACAACGACAACAAAAGCAUGCCCAUGUAAUCUCACAAGUGGAACUGGGGAGGUUAGAGCGCACACAGACCUUACCCCCACCUUGCCCUCGGCUCAAGAAGAAGCAUAUCAAAGCAGAUAGUACAGAAAGAAUGACAAAUAGUGUGAUCUGAUGUAAAAGAGAUAGUAGAAAGUAACAGAAACUGAAGGACGAAAAACUCAUACAUCAUACUCAUGAUAAAAACUCGCCAUUUGUUUACAAUAAGCGGCAGAGAUACAGUGGUGAUCAGUUUUGAUUCUGUUAAGAUAUUUGUUCGAUUGAUUUUAAGUGGGAGAUACACAGCACAAAAUUCUGACACUGGAUCGACUACAUUUUAGCCUCUGAUUCUUGAUAACAUUUUAAUUCUGGAUAGUGGCAUUUCUUUCAACACUCUUUGGAAA